This 253-nucleotide ribosomal RNA is filed under the name uncultured bacterium. RNAcentral describes it as "partial 16S ribosomal RNA". It matches the Rfam family "Bacterial small subunit ribosomal RNA", at positions 524 to 776 of the family's 1533-position model. The record is from RNAcentral.
UACGUAGGGGGCUAGCGUUGUCCGGAAUCAUUGGGCGUAAAGAGCGUGUAGGCGGUCCGGUAAGUCCGCUGUGAAAGUCGGGGGCUCAACCCUCGAAUGCCGGUGGAUACUGUCGGGCUAGAGUGCGGAAGAGGCGAGUGGAAUUCCUGGUGUAGCGGUGAAAUGCGUAGAUAUCGGGAGGAAUACCAGAGGCGAAGGCGGCGCACUGGACGGCAACUGACACUCAACUGCGAAAGCGUGGGGAGCAAACAGG